AACUAAAACCCUAAAAUUUCUAACCUAAGUCUACCAGUAUUCUCUCUCUCCCUCUCUACUUCGUGCAAACCAGAACCCUAGCCCCCUCCAUUAAUCCGAACCCAAGCCCCUCCAGUUCGAACCCCAAAGCUCCCUCCAGUCCGAGAACCCCAACCGUCACCUUCUUCCAGUCCAAGAACCCCGGCGACCCACCUUCCUCCAGUCCGAGAACCCAACACCCCGAAUCUGACCAAAUCUCAGUAAUGGUGGUCGAAUCUGACCACAAAAUCAAGCUCGACGCCCGUAAAAAUAAAGGCGCUGGAGAAGGAAAUGGCUCCUCCACCGUCAUCGAAGCCCGCUAAGUCAGGGGGAGGCAAUGUUUCUGAUAGUUCGUGGUUCUUCUUGCAGCCACUAAAGAUGAGGCAAUUAAUUUGUGUAGCUAAAGAUGAAGAAAUUGUGUUGUGGCAGCUGGAACUCUGAACUGAGAUGAGGCAAGAGACCUUAAAUUACCUCUUAAGGAUAGGUUCUUAAGGAAGUUGGACUAUGCAGCCAGGAUUGGAGAGGCAAUGUUUGGAUUUGAUAAUUUUAUUUAUUUUUUGUUGUUGUAUUGUUCAUACCAAUUUUUAGGUUUGUAGUCAUAUUUUGUUUUAAUGUUAUUGUAUUUUGUUUAUGUAUUUUAUUUAAAUUAUACUUGUAUUUUUUCUUAUUCUGUAUUAAUUAUAAUAUAAUUAUUUUUGUA
Molecule: long non-coding RNA, 718 nt
Organism: Cannabis sativa
Lineage: Eukaryota; Viridiplantae; Streptophyta; Magnoliopsida; Rosales; Cannabaceae
Exons: 3
Source: RefSeq, a predicted model, not a curated record